This 480-nucleotide ribosomal RNA is filed under the name Triticum aestivum (bread wheat). Its description in RNAcentral is "partial small subunit ribosomal RNA". Lineage: Eukaryota; Viridiplantae; Streptophyta; Magnoliopsida; Poales; Poaceae. The record is from RNAcentral.
AUGAAAGGGACGGCGUCCUUCCCUGCCUCGUACCCUCCCCAGAUCGGGGCCCGAAGCAGCCGCUCCUGCCUCCGCCUUCUCGCCCCUAGCCAGCGCGGCGUGAGGGGCGGCGACCCGGCGAGCCCGGAGAGAGAGAGAGAGAGAGAGAGAGAGAGAGAGAGAGAGAGAGAGAGAGAGAGAGAGAGAGUACCUGAGAGAGAGAGAGAGCGCGCACACACGGAGCAGCCGCAGCUCGGCGUCGAGGAGGCACAGAGACGGCCGGCCCCCCACCUCCCUUCCUCCUCUCCCGAUCCAGGAGCGGAUCGAGCCGCCACCAACCGCCAGGUCACGCCCGACCUCGCCGGCGCAGGCCGACAGCAGCCGGUGACCCUCUCCUGUCUGCUGCCUCACCUCCCUCUCCUCUUUCCUCUCACUUUCUUCAUCGCGGGCGGGGGGCGGCGGCGGCGGCGCAUGAGGAACGAGGGUCGCGGGGUGGGCUAG